This is a long non-coding RNA of Hypanus sabinus (Atlantic stingray), 1054 nucleotides long. RefSeq lists it as uncharacterized. Lineage: Eukaryota; Metazoa; Chordata; Chondrichthyes; Myliobatiformes; Dasyatidae. The transcript is spliced from 2 exons. The record is from RefSeq and is a predicted model, not a curated record.
CAUAACCACGUUUACAACAGCUUUCCCCAGAGCGGUGCAAGAAUGUUCAAACCGUGGUUCAAGGCUGCUGGAAAUCAAUUCAAGGGAUGAAGCGGGAAUCGGCUUCUAGUCUUAUGUUGAAGCAUGACAGUGGAAUGCCCAACUGCGGUAACUGCGACUCUCCCGGAUGGGGGAUCCGUUGCAAUCGUCGACACCGUUUCAUCUGCGAGAAGUCUGCACAUUUUCGCACGGAUAUUCCUGAAAAGAUCCAGGAUCUCUGUCAACAAUCCGUUGGGCCAAACUGAUUCACAUUACAAUCCGUCUUCCUCUCCCGUCUCUCUUCCCCACUGUUGUCCACCUCAUCCUCAAAUUCCCGCUUCACGCACUCUGCCCUUCUCCCAAAUACACCCCUCCACAACUCGCAUCCCAUUCCACCAACACGCUCCUACAUUCCUCUUUCCCCAGCAUACCAUUUUAUUUACCACCAUUUCUCCCACUCUUCUCUCCCCCACCCGCAUCGUUCUCCACCACUCCACGUCUGGUAUCCCUCCCCUCCUCUCCACCCACUCUCCCCUCACUCCUGUGUACUCUGGUUCACAGAUUUCCAACUCUGGGGUAAAAGACUGUGCGCAUUCACUCUAUUUGUGCUCCUCAGGGUUUUAUACACCUCUGUAGAGUCACCCCUACUCCCCAAAGAAUAAACUCCCUACGCCAGCCCGGCCUCCACAACUCAGCCACUCGAAUCCCGGCAACAUCCUCGUAAAUCUCCCUCUGCACUCUUUCCAGCUCAUCUUUCCUACAGCAGGGCGAACAGAACCGAACACAGUACUCCAAGUGUGGCCACACCGAUGUCCUGUACAACUGCAAUGUGACCUCCCGACUCCUGUACUCAGUGAAGACCAGCGUGCCACAUGUCCUAUCUAUCCGUAUCGCGUGUUUGCCACCGGAAUCACCAUCUUAUUUAUUGUUUUUGACUUGUACCACCCGAGAGUAGAUCAUUUGCACAAUCGGUACUCCGCAAUGCCGUAGAUUUAAUAUAAGUUCCAAAAAUUAAUAAACUCAGCAAAUAGGGGAA